GGGGUUGUGGUCUAGUGGUAUGACAUCUUCUUAGCAUUGCUCUUUGGGCAUUACUGAGUGGAGAAGGUUCUGGGUUCGAUUCCCAGCUACUCCA
RNAcentral lists this transfer RNA (94 nucleotides) under Aureobasidium subglaciale EXF-2481. It matches the Rfam family "tRNA". From Rfam's summary of the family: Transfer RNA (tRNA) molecules are approximately 80 nucleotides in length. Their secondary structure includes four short double-helical elements and three loops (D, anti-codon, and T loops). Lineage: Eukaryota; Fungi; Ascomycota; Dothideomycetes; Dothideales; Saccotheciaceae. The record is from Rfam by way of RNAcentral.